RNAcentral lists this ribosomal RNA (499 nucleotides) under Colletotrichum gloeosporioides. RNAcentral's name for it is "eukaryotic LSU rRNA". The stretch from base 141 to 294 matches the Rfam family "5.8S ribosomal RNA". Lineage: Eukaryota; Fungi; Ascomycota; Sordariomycetes; Glomerellales; Glomerellaceae. The record is from RNAcentral.
UACCUAUAACUGUUGCUUCGGCGGGUAGGGUCUCCGCGACCCUCCCGGCCUCCCGCCUCCGGGCGGGUCGGCGCCCGCCGGAGGAUAACCAAACUCUGAUUUAACGACGUUUCUUCUGAGUGGUACAAGCAAAUAAUCAAAACUUUUAACAACGGAUCUCUUGGUUCUGGCAUCGAUGAAGAACGCAGCGAAAUGCGAUAAGUAAUGUGAAUUGCAGAAUUCAGUGAAUCAUCGAAUCUUUGAACGCACAUUGCGCCCGCCAGCAUUCUGGCGGGCAUGCCUGUUCGAGCGUCAUUUCAACCCUCAAGCUCUGCUUGGUGUUGGGGCCCUACAGCUGAUGUAGGCCCUCAAAGGUAGUGGCGGACCCUCUCGGAGCCUCCUUUGCGUAGUAACUUUACGUCUCGCACUGGGAUCCGGAGGGACUCUUGCCGUANAACCCCCAAUUUUCCAAAGGUUGACCUCGGAUCAGGUAGGAAUACCCGCUGAACUUAAGCAUAUC